AAACGGUAGCACAGAAGAGCUUGCUCUCGGGUGACGAGUGGCGGACGGGUGAGUAAUGUCUGGGAAACUGCCUGAUGGAGGGGGAUAACUACUGGAAACGGUAGCUAAUACCGCAUAACGUCGCAAGACCAAAGAGGGGGACCUUCGGGCCUCUUGCCAUCAGAUGUGCCCAGAUGGGAUUAGCUAGUAGGUGGGGUAACGGCUCACCUAGGCAACAAUCCCUAGCUGGUCUGAGAGGAUGACCAGCCACACUGGAAUUGAGACACGGUCCUCAUUCCUACGGGAGGCAUUAAGGGGGAAUAUUGCACAAUGGGCCCCAUGCCUGAAGCANCCAUUGCCACAGAGGUAUNNGGAUGGCCUUCU
RNAcentral lists this ribosomal RNA (363 nucleotides) under Enterobacter cloacae. Its description in RNAcentral is "bacterial SSU rRNA". It matches the Rfam family "Bacterial small subunit ribosomal RNA", at positions 64 to 395 of the family's 1533-position model. The record is from RNAcentral. Lineage: Bacteria; Pseudomonadati; Pseudomonadota; Gammaproteobacteria; Enterobacterales; Enterobacteriaceae. RNAcentral also lists the same sequence under 1 other name.